This 291-nucleotide long non-coding RNA is filed under the name Malus domestica (apple). Its description in RNAcentral is "long non-coding RNA (MDOM_LNC004294)". Lineage: Eukaryota; Viridiplantae; Streptophyta; Magnoliopsida; Rosales; Rosaceae. The record is from RNAcentral.
ACACACCCAACCUCUUGAUCCCUCUUUCUUAUCUUGAUACUUUUGCUUUUCUGAGAACACACACACACACCCAAUCUUUCAAUCCUUAUCCCUCAUUCCUCCCUGUGUUUGUUCUUCCCCCAUCUCUGCAACUCUCCUUCCUGGAGCAGACAGACGACACCCACACCCACACCCACACCCACACCCACACUCCACCGCGACCUCCACCGCAGUGUCUCACACCUUCUCGAAGACUCUCCUCUCCUCAGUCUCCUCACUCUUUCUCUCUCCCCUACAGUUUUUCUCUCUCCC